CAUGAAUAAGGGGCUCCCAACUCUGUGCCAGCAGGAGCGGUAAUACAGAGGCCCCGAGCGUUACCCGGAAUCACUGGGCGUAAAGGGUGCGUAGGCGGUUAUACUAGUCGGGCGUUAAAUCCCGGGGCUCAACCCCGGACUCGCGUUCGAAACGGUAUGACUAGGAGAAGUGAGAGGUGUGCGGAACUCAAGGUGUAGGGGUGAAAUCCGUUGAUAUCUUGGGGAACACCAAAUGCGAAGGCAGCACACUGGCACUUUCUCGACGCUGAGGCACGAAAGCGUGGGUAGCGAAUGGGAUUAGAUACCCCAGUAGUCCACGCCCUAAACGCUGUCUGCUGGCUUUGGCGAGUAUCGACCCUCGCCGAGGCGAAGUUAACACGUUAAGCAGACCGCCUGGGUAGUACGACCGCAAGGUUAAAACUCAAAGGAAUAGACGGGGACCCGCACAAGCGGUGGAGCGCGAGGCUUAAUUCGUCGCUAAACGAAAAACCUUACCAAGGCUAGAAAUCCAGCUGCACGCUCUGGGAAACCAGAGAAGCUUUCGAAGGUGCUGGACAGGUGAUGCAUGGCUGUCGUCAGUUCGUGGCUUGAGCUGUUCCCUUAAGUGGGGAAACGAACGCAACCCUCGUUGCCUGUUAUAUGUGUCAGGCGAGACUGCUCCCUCACGGGAGAGGAAGGUGAGGAUGACGCCAAGUCAGCAUGUCCCUUGAUGCCUUGGGCUGCACUCACGCUACAAUGGUACGCACAACGGGACGCAAUACCGUAAGGUGGAGCCAAUCCUAAUAAAACGUGCCCCAGUUCGGAUUGAGGGCUGCAACUCGCCCUCAUGAAGUCGGAAUCG
This 841-nucleotide ribosomal RNA is filed under the name uncultured bacterium. RNAcentral's name for it is "bacterial SSU rRNA". It matches the Rfam family "Bacterial small subunit ribosomal RNA", at positions 481 to 1334 of the family's 1533-position model. The record is from RNAcentral.